Helianthus annuus (common sunflower) is the source of this 672-nucleotide long non-coding RNA. RefSeq lists it as uncharacterized. The record is from RefSeq and is a predicted model, not a curated record. NCBI's taxonomy places the organism in Eukaryota, Viridiplantae, Streptophyta, Magnoliopsida, Asterales, Asteraceae. The transcript is spliced from 3 exons.
CCAACUUAUUUUUCUCUCUCGUCGCUCUAACCUAGGGUUUCAUACACUUUUCUGUCGCCGUGUAAACUCCGGCGAAAACCCAAGAUCAUCAAAGAUCUACUCCGACGAUGGUGGUUGUUCCGUGUUUGAUCGGCGCUGCAUGUUCUUCUUCUUCUCUCCCACACUCUCUCUCUCUCUCUCAGACAUUUCUUCCCAAACAACUGUAGGGUUAUUUCCGAUGUUGUUAGGGUUUGCGGUGUCAAUCGGUGCGUGGCUUGAUAAACACUCAAAUCGUCACUCUCUGCGCGUCUUAAUGUAUCCAGAUUUACCCUAACAUCAUCGAAACUCACUUCAUUUUGGCCCUCGGUAAAGGGAUAUCGUUUCUGGAUCUGGUCGAACAACAGGGGACCAAUCUUCGUUGUGUGAUAAUGUAAUUUAUGAGGUCAUUUGUUCCAUCAGUUUGUUGCUGUUCAAUCAUAAUUGGUGAGUACAUGAAGUAAAAUACUUAUUAAAGACAUGGGUUGUAAAUCAACACGAAGCAAGAAGAUAAUUGGUAUGUACCUUUUCAGUCUGGUAUUCUUGCUCCAUACAACUUCAUGUUUAUCAGACAAUAAUUCUCAUAGGAACAUAACCCUACCCUAGUUAUACAGGAACCUAAAAAAUCUGCAGUUAACAUAUGUACAAUAUUGUAUU